GUUAUCUUUUUCUCUCUCUCACGUCUCUGUUUUCCUUCCCCCUCUUUCUCUUCUUCUUCAUUCACUCUCUUCUCCCUCUUUCUCUUCUUCCUCGAAACGAAAGGCUACAGUGGUGCGAACAGGGGAGAAGAUGACGAAAGGCUAAUCUGGCGACAAUGUCGGAUUCGUAACGAACAUGUGGUGGUUGGCCACUGUUUAUGCAAUUUGAAGGUUUUCUAGAUCCAACACUUUCGUGGCUUAGGGUUUCCAGAUCCAACACUUUCAUGACUUAGGGUUUGCGGAUCCAACGCUUUCUGUUUCUUCUGUAUAGGAUGCAAUAAGUGGUGGUGGUGGUUGCGUGCCUUCUCAUGUCGACAUAUUUUUUUAGGUGAAAGGACAUUGUUGUUAUUUUCUUAUUCCAAUGAUUAUCGAGCAAUACAUGUGUCUCUGGUGAAGGUGUACUUAAAGGCGCUUCUAGAAGAUUUGGCUGAGAAAUUUGCCAGGGAGAAAGUUCAAGUAAGCAUUAUUAAAAU
Vicia villosa (hairy vetch) is the source of this 512-nucleotide long non-coding RNA. RefSeq lists it as uncharacterized. NCBI's taxonomy places the organism in Eukaryota, Viridiplantae, Streptophyta, Magnoliopsida, Fabales, Fabaceae. The transcript is spliced from 4 exons. The record is from RefSeq and is a predicted model, not a curated record.